Long non-coding RNA from Salvia hispanica, 716 nucleotides. RefSeq lists it as uncharacterized. The record is from RefSeq and is a predicted model, not a curated record. Lineage: Eukaryota; Viridiplantae; Streptophyta; Magnoliopsida; Lamiales; Lamiaceae.
AUCUUAGUCAAAUAAAUCUCUCUCAAUCCCAUAACCAUACAGUUUCUUCCAUAUCUCCAUCUUCCUUAAAAAUCUCCAACCAAAACCCAUUCUUCUCCUUAUAACUUCCUCCACAACGCAGCUUUCUUUUGUAUCUGCUGUUAUUUUCGUCUCCUCCACCAAAAAGUAUAUUCUUCUCCUCAAGUUCAUUAAUAUGAAAACCUCAAUUCGUUGAUUUCAUGGCCAAAUUCUUGACAUCACAGCAUUGAGAGGAGAAAACCGAGAGAGCUGUGGAAUUAAUUCUUCUUGUUAUUUUUCUUCUUCUCAAAGUUGAGAGGAAGCCGAAAUCGAGUAGCCUGUGAAACAUCCAUCUCCCCUGCAAAUCUCAAUUUGUUCUCUUUGUUUCUAAAGGGUGAGCUUGUGCACGUUGGUUGCGAUUGGAAUAGGAGGUGAUUGAGGAGUAAGCUUGUGAGAUUGAGCGACGACGGGCGUGGAGGAUGUUGAGCAGAAUUCAUGGAUUAUUUAUGUUUGGCUUAAUAUUGUUGGAUAUGUCGUGUCUUCAUACUCGACAUUUUCCGUGUCUUGAACGCUUCCGCUAGGUGUCUUUUCUUUAAAAUUGUUUUAGUAUUGAGAACCUAACUCUUUUCAAAAUUGUCUACUUUCUAGUCUUUAUUUCUUAGAAUUGGUACUUUGUUGAAAUGAUACUAUGUUGUUUUCUAAGUUAUUUCAAUUAUUUA